Trichonephila clavipes is the source of this 75-nucleotide non-coding RNA. NCBI's taxonomy places the organism in Eukaryota, Metazoa, Arthropoda, Arachnida, Araneae, Nephilidae. The record is from the annotation of a GenBank genome assembly.
GUGCCUGUAGUGCAAUAGAAUGCGCGCGUUGGACUUCUACUCCAAAGGUAGUGGGUUCAAAUCCCGCCUGGUAUG